Small nucleolar RNA from Jaculus jaculus (lesser Egyptian jerboa), 138 nucleotides. NCBI's taxonomy places the organism in Eukaryota, Metazoa, Chordata, Mammalia, Rodentia, Dipodidae. The record is from Ensembl.
AGAGGAAUAUUUAAAUCUGUGGAUGGGAAUUUUUCCCAUUAUUGGUUACACUGUAGUGCAAAAUAAUUCCUGGCUCUUACCAGCUGCAUAGCCAAUUUGUGCCAUAGUGCUGUUGCUUUAUGUAGUUGAAGAACAUGC